This is a long non-coding RNA of Salvia miltiorrhiza (redroot sage), 537 nucleotides long. RefSeq lists it as uncharacterized. The transcript is spliced from 3 exons. NCBI's taxonomy places the organism in Eukaryota, Viridiplantae, Streptophyta, Magnoliopsida, Lamiales, Lamiaceae. The record is from RefSeq and is a predicted model, not a curated record.
UAAAAUAAGCUCCCACCUACUCCCUCAUUUUUUCAAACUUAACAUCACAUACCCUCAAAGACCUCUUGCACACUUCACACCAUUGGACAAAUUCAAAGUUUACUUCAGCUAAAAUCUUCUUUCUUUCGUUCACACAAAUUAUCCUUGCAAGAAAAAGAACUCAAGCUUAAGAGAUUACAACAUCCAAAACUAUUCAAGGCUUUGUGACCAGGGGGAUUAGCGCUGCUUUCCCAAGACAGGUUUAUAUGUGAUUAUGAUCUUCAGGCUUUGCCUAACCAGGUUGGCUGGCCGGUGCUGACGGGACGGAGCUGAGACUAGAGAUAAAUUCCUAUGUUAGACUUCCGCUGUAGCAAUUACUCUUAUACAUCUUUUGUUUUCUCAACUUAAGAUGACUUCAUUUGAGCUUCAAUUUAAAAUUUAUAGUUUUAUGUUAAUGAACGUCGGUUGUCAGAAGCAUGAAACAAAACUUGUGAUCCAAAGGGGCCUAGCCUGACUUUCUAUCCUAUUUCGGGUUUUAACAAGGUUGUUCCUUGUUUA